UUAGCUUUAUGCCAUUCAAAAAUCUAUCUUAGAAAUAAAUCUGAUGGAAACAGAUUAUCUCUCCUUCACAUGCAACAGAUGCUCAGUUGGCAUGAAUUGCAUUGAGGAGGGAGCAUUCCUAUCGAGUGCUGUAUGGAGUGGACCUGGGGUCCCUUCACAGGUCAUCCUAAGAGCCACAUCACUAUCCAUGGUCUAAGUGCCCUAGUCAGUCACUGAAAGAUGAGGGCAAAUGAGCUGUGGUGUUUCCGAGUCCAGGCUCCAGUGGAUUAAAUCCCUGUGCCCUGCAGGCAACUUGGGACUCCAUCCAUUUUAGGCAGUACAGCAUUACUAAUAACAAGAACAGCACGGAAAAUAUGAGACCCAGGCAGCAGUGGCAGGGAGAAUGAGAUGCAGAGCUGUGCAUGCUGGGAAGUGCUGGCCUUAAUUAGAAUGUGCAUGUACAGUAUUUAUCUUUCUCCCAAACCUAUAAAUAAGGCCAGCGCUAUGGCGAUUACUGAUGUCUGCCGUCAUUUCACAAGGCCUCUGUUUUGAUGGAGCACCAGUUGCUGCAAAAUAAUAUUUCUUUCCUUUCCAGUCUGCAUCUGCUCCUGUAUGGAAACCUCUCAAAGGCUUUCAGAGCUGUGACUGGACAGGAGAGAAGGGGUGGACAUCAUCUUCUGGGAAUUCAAGAGUUUUGAGAAAGAGUCUGAUGUGUACUUCAGGAGUCACCUAGAACAGUGUUGUUCAUCUUUCAUAAAGGAGAAUAAAUAUAUCUGCCCUUGAAGGACUCUCAUCUGAGAAGUGAAAAUUCAUAAAACUUAAAUGGUCCAUAGGAGGGUGAUUUAAAUUUUAUCACACGUGGGCAUCCCCUGACCCCACUGAAAAGUUAAAUGAAAACUACUAUUGUUUGCUGCUUAGUUUCCCUCUGACCAAAACUAGAGAGUAAACUCCUUAAGAGUAAAAGUUGGUUUUAUGGGUUUUUUGUUUAAUAUCAGUAUUUCGCAGUACAUGUACAUAGUAGAACUUCAAUAAGUAAUUAAUUAUAAUUAAAUCUAUUCAUUUCAUGGGGUAGGAAGGUAUUCCUCUUAAUUACCUCACUUCCAGAGGUUCAUGUUUUCUCAAAAUAAAUACUUCUGCCCUCUAGCCUGUUCUCCACAUGUGAGGUUAAGGAAAAAUAAAAGGCAAUGCAUGAAAUAUACUCACCCAUGAGGUCAUCUUCAAUGAAUGUUUAUUCAUAAGGGAACCACCCUGUUCUAAGAACCAAACCAUCUCUCCGCUUCCUGUGCCUGAGGAGACAUCAUCAACUCUUUCUUGGAAGAUAUUUCCUGUCCAGUGAGACUAGGACAAUCUAUGUGCUAUCACCAUUCCCCUUCCUUCAAAGAGAAAAUAAAUAAAUACCUACCAACCCACAACACACUGCUAGCCCCAA
This 1408-nucleotide long non-coding RNA is filed under the name Homo sapiens (human). RNAcentral's name for it is "HSALNT0020931". The record is from RNAcentral. Lineage: Eukaryota; Metazoa; Chordata; Mammalia; Primates; Hominidae.